Phyllopteryx taeniolatus (common seadragon) is the source of this 1389-nucleotide long non-coding RNA. RefSeq lists it as uncharacterized. The transcript has 2 exons. The record is from RefSeq and is a predicted model, not a curated record. NCBI's taxonomy places the organism in Eukaryota, Metazoa, Chordata, Actinopteri, Syngnathiformes, Syngnathidae.
UACAUAACAAAGGGUGAAGAUGAUAAUCGUACAAUACAUAAAGUUGCAGCAAUUGAGAAUUGCCUGUAAAGUUAAAAAUCAAAUAGUACUUUGAAGUAAUUUUCUUAUAGGCUCUGCAAACAAAGCAAUACAGUGUUCCCUCGCUGUAUUUCACCUCUUGCGGAUUCAGUGCAUUGCAGAUUUUUUUUUUCAUAUUCAUAUCACGCAUAAUUCGCCAUAUCGCAGGAUUUUGAGCAUAUACUGUAAUUUUUUUAGUGGUGAAAUAAAUGCUUCCUUGCUUAAAACAAUUUCAACUGAAAAAAAAAAAUAUAUAUAUAUAUAACACAUUUGUAAUUUUCCCGUGCAUGUGCAUUUUUUUCCCCCAUUUUUUAUUAUUAUUUUUUUACAAUCAAAAGUCAAUAGAGGCAUUAUACAUCCAGGAGAUAUAAGGAAAAUUCAAAGUAUAUAUAUUUCACAUUGUAUAAGCGUAUUCUGGUACCUAGGGUUUGUGAAAAAAGUGUACUUUCAUUCAAAUUUCAUGAUAUGUAAUGUCUAACUGCCCCUUCUCGUCUUCGGCCAUUGUCGGCUAUUAUCGGCUGUGAUGUAAGAAAUGGCACACCCUCCGAUCCUUCGGCGUAAACACACACACACGCACACACACGUCGUUAUUUGGUUUAUUGCCACGUAUUUUGCUAUUUCACAAUGUUUUAUCUGGUUGUACUAAUGGUGCGGGCAGUGACAAGAGCUUCUUUAGCUUUCCAAGCUAUAAAAAAGCAAUACUAGACCAGUGGAUUCUCGAGAGUCGAUUAGGAGGGGGAAGCUGCACAUCUGUUGCUGCUGCCGAGCAAGUCUAACUAACUUUUGAACCGCCAUGUUUUCAGAAACAUUUAGCAGAAAGUAUUGGAUACGUAGGAUACUUCGAGCCAGGCUGAAACCAGCUGCAGUGACAACGAUUUUCCCUUCAAGAGUCAAGUCUUCAACCAGGACACCGCCUGCCAUGAUAAUGGGAAAAGCGGCAUGUACAGUACAUGACACGGCACCUUCACCAAUCUUGUGUCCUUUUAAGAAGAACGGGGUUCUACUGGCUGGAUAGCAGUUUACAAGGAAAUGUGGGCUAGAUAGAUAGCUAGAUUGAUAGAUAAACAGACAGACAGUACCUCACAAAAGUUUUUCAUUUAAGUAUUUAUAGAGCAAAUAUUUUAUUAUAUCUUCAUCACUGAAGCAGUGGUUUAGGUUUGCAGACAUGCUUAGCCUAUACGCUAAGCUGCCUUACCAAGGCCUGUUUCGCGCAACACACACUUGACACCAUUUAAAGAUGUUAGGAUUUGUGUACGCUCUUCCACUGAAAGGGCCUGAGAUGUAAAAGUGCGCAUGUGUAAAAAUAAAAAGUAGUUCCGGUUUUGCACUACC